Molecule: ribosomal RNA, 926 nt
Filed under: bacterium W13M1a
Lineage: Bacteria
Also listed under: 1 other name
Description: bacterial SSU rRNA
Rfam family: Bacterial small subunit ribosomal RNA
Source: RNAcentral
UGCAAGUCGAGGGGUAACAGAGGAGCUUGCUUCUGCUGACGACCGGCGCACGGGUGCGCACCGCGUAUGGAACCUACCUUUUACAGAGGGAUAGCCCAGGGAAACUUGGAUUAAUACCUCAUGGUAUCAUUUUUUAGCAUUAUUAAAUGAUUAAAGACUUCGGUCGGUAAAAGAUGGCCAUGCGUCCCAUUAGCUAGAUGGUAAGGUAACGGCUUACCAUGGCUACGAUGGGUAGGGGCCCUGAGAGGGGGAUCCCCCACACUGGUACUGAGACACGGACCAGACUCCUACGGGAGGCAGCAGUGAGGAAUAUUGGACAAUGGAGGAGACUCUGAUCCAGCCAUGCCGCGUGCAGGAAGAAUGCCCUAUGGGUAGUAAACUGCUUUUAUACAGGAAGAAAAAAGAGUACGUGUACUCUACUGACGGUACUGUAAGAAUAAGGACCGGCUAACUCCGUGCCAGCAGCCGCGGUAAUACGGAGGGUCCGAGCGUUAUCCGGAAUUAUUGGGUUUAAAGGGUCCGUAGGCGGGUCAAUAAGUCAGGGGUGAAAGUUUGCAGCUCAACUGUAAAAUUGCCUUUGAUACUGUUGGUCUUGAGUUAUAGUGAAGUUGCCGGAAUAUGUAGUGUAGCGGUGAAAUGCAUAGAUAUUACAUAGAACACCGAUUGCGAAGGCAGGUGACUAACUAUAUACUGACGCUGAUGGACGAAAGCGUGGGGAGCGAACAGGAUUAGAUACCCUGGUAGUCCACGCCGUAAACGAUGGAUACUAGCUGUCCGAGACCUUGAGUCUUGGGCGGCCAAGCGAAAGUGAUAAGUAUCCCACCUGGGGAGUACGUUCGCAAGAAUGAAACUCAAAGGAAUUGACGGGGGCCCGCACAAGCGGUGGAGCAUGUGGUUUAAUUCGAUGAUACGCGAGGAACCUUACC